GCUGUUUAAAAGCGUUUGAGGUAGAAGUGGGGAUCGAUAUUUGAUUCACCUUUCUACUCCUCUGCGACACAGUGUCAGUUUUAAGCUGCAGGAGGUCCGAAUAGCAACAUGAAGUGCAUCAUGAAGACGUUCCUUCUCAUGAUUUUCCUCCUCGUUAGUCCCUGUGAAAGUAGAAGACACAGGAGUGACAGUUCUAGCAGUGAAUCCAAAAGUAUCGAGAAAUUGAGGCCCUUACUGCUAGAUAUCUGUAGGCUUCUUCCUACUCUAUGCAACCCACCUGCGACAUCUACAACUGCAACUACGACAGCAACAACACUAAAAACCACAGAAACUGCAGGGACCCCACGUGGAGACAGCCUCUGAACUGCGCCAAUGCCUAAACAAGAUCUCCACAUGGAGCUGCUCUGCUUCUCAUGGAGAGUGUGUACUCCAAAAUGUAAUGCACUGUUAGUUUUGUGUUUGCCCACCUCUAAGGCCUACACAAAAAAAAUCUGAAUGUAUUGUUGUGACUAUUGUUUAAAUUUGAGUGGUGAUUCUUCCAUAUUUAAUACAAUUUUUUUCUAUUUUAUUUUCAUAAUGUGCAAUAAAAGCUGCAGUGAAAAACCUAAAGGAUUCUGCUGUGAAACGAGUCUAAUUGAAGCAAAAAUGUAGACCUGGUGAAAGGAAGGAUCCUGUUGGGAGCGUCUUCUGCAGACACUAAUGACAGUGUGCUGAUGACACAACACUGUAAUAUCCACUCAGCGCACUCACAUGACCAUGCUGGAUCAGCACAGCUUAAGUAAGGGUGGAAGCUGAGUCUGUAACACAGUGUGUGUGUGUGUGUGUGUGUGUGUGUGUGUGUGGGUGGGUGUGUGUGUGAGAUUUAUCCUCUUGAUCAACAUUUUCAUUCACUCCUCUGAACUGCUGACUACUUUGAAAAAAAAGAGAAGAAAAGAUUCCCAUUACUGACUUUUCUCAAAGUUAAAUGUUUCUAGUUAUAGAUGCCAAUAUUUUAAUGUUUACUUUCUAAAUAAAGAUGAAUCUCAAUAUAUAAACUCUGAAUAUGUAUUUUAAGUAAUGGAUUCUCAUCUGCAACCAACAAAAAUAAACACAGAAACACA
This is a long non-coding RNA of Oryzias latipes (Japanese medaka), 1100 nucleotides long. RefSeq lists it as uncharacterized. The record is from RefSeq and is a predicted model, not a curated record. NCBI's taxonomy places the organism in Eukaryota, Metazoa, Chordata, Actinopteri, Beloniformes, Adrianichthyidae.